Molecule: long non-coding RNA, 458 nt
Filed under: Nicotiana benthamiana
Lineage: Eukaryota; Viridiplantae; Streptophyta; Magnoliopsida; Solanales; Solanaceae
Description: long non-coding RNA (NBEN_LNC002694)
Source: RNAcentral
CAAACUGAUAUGAUAAGAUUUUUUGCAGUAGGAUACACUAGAAUACAGGAAACUAACAAAAUUCUAAACCUGAAAAAUAGGAAGCUAAUAACAAACUCCUAAACUAAAGGAUAUCAAUUGUUAUCCUUUAAUAAGAAGGCCAUAACCUUGUUUGAUUUGUAGAGAAGACGUUGUACAACUUGUUCAGUCUCUUGAAUGCCAUUAAGACAUAAAAGUUGUUGUAUAUAUGCCAAAAUACAGAAUCCAUAGAAGCAGGGUGGGAUGUAGAGUUCAGAUUAUGGAUUUAUCCGAACCCGGUAGCUUGGUAUGGAUCCUUUAUGUAUUUUAAAAAAUUCAUUAAAUAAGUACAAAUAAUUGAUUCCAGACCCAGUAAAUCAAAUGAGUUGUUAUAGAAUCCCGAACUCAAAACCAUAGAGGAUCCACCUCCGCAUAGAAGCGCUUGCUUGGUAAGUUGGUGC